UACGAAGGGGGGCUAGCGUUGCUCGGAAUCACUGGGCGUAAAGCGCACGUAGGCGGAUCUUUAAGUCAGGGGUGAAAUCCCAAGGCUCAACCUUGGAACUGCCUUUGAUACUGGGGAUCUCGAGUCCGGAAGAGGUGAGUGGAACUGCGAGUGUAGAGGUGAAAUUCGUAGAUAUUCGCAAGAACACCUGUGGCGAAAGG
This 200-nucleotide ribosomal RNA is filed under the name uncultured bacterium. RNAcentral describes it as "partial 16S ribosomal RNA". It matches the Rfam family "Bacterial small subunit ribosomal RNA", at positions 524 to 721 of the family's 1533-position model. The record is from RNAcentral.